Scaptodrosophila lebanonensis is the source of this 5721-nucleotide RNA transcript. RefSeq lists it as uncharacterized. The record is from RefSeq and is a predicted model, not a curated record. NCBI's taxonomy places the organism in Eukaryota, Metazoa, Arthropoda, Insecta, Diptera, Drosophilidae. The transcript is spliced from 8 exons.
GUUUGUGAAAGAAAGUGCGCGCGUAUAAUAUUAAUACAAUUUAUGUUAUUUAUCUGGCCUGAUAUAUACAUACUACAUACAUACAUGCAUAUGUACACAUAUACAACUUGAAAUCCACCACUCCAUUCCAUUCAUUGGGACGGACGCAAAACAAUUGCCGCCGCAUUACCUUCAAUGGAGCAACAGCCAAAGCGAUCUGCGUAUAACAUUGAGCGUCCCACCUUAAACUUAACGGGUACCGAAGCUGCCACAGAAGCUAGUGGAGCAACUGGAGCACGCAUCAUGCCCGGCUCCGGAUCCGGUGCGGGCUCGACGCUAUCGCCGGGCUCGACAACACCUAUAGGAGCGUCAGGAAACGUGAGUUUUUUACCAGAAAUGCCGCAGUGGAAAAAGGAUUUAAUACAACGUCGCAAGACAAAUGUGGCACGCACCGUUGGGGCCACAUCGCCGAACAGUGCAGCUGCAACAAAUGCCGCAUUGACACUUGCAUCUCCGGAUGGAAUGGCGGCAAUGACUUUAAACGCAACGACAGAUUCAAUUGUGACUGAAGAAGCCGCUACCAAAGUCUUAGCAACCGCAACAAUAACUAGUCAAGAAGAACAUAAACAAAAAUAUCUUAAAAGAAAUGUGAACCAAACGGCGUUUAAAGCAACAUCAACAACUACUACAGCAAUAGCACCUGAAGAAAAGUCUGAGAAAUGUUUUAUUGUUGGAGGUCAUCACACGAUUCUAACACCAACAGCAGUCAACGUUGAAGCACCAGCCUCGGUCUCUUCGGCAGAACCAGAAACAGCAACAGAAACGGCAGCGCCAGCAAUGUUAUCAACAACAACAAGCACAAAAACUGGCAAUACACCAAUACCAAAGCAACGAUCAAGUUUAUUUAACGCAACAACAACACAAGCAGCAGUGGUAACAAAUACAAGAAGUCAAUCAACUAGCAAAGAGCCGGAGAAUCUAAAUUUGACUGCGAGAGAGUGCGGUGAGCGCAUGGAACCCGUGGGAGAGCAGCAGCGCCCCAUUGAAACUGGAAUGGUGAAUAGCCGCGCUCGUGGUGAAUUUGGUAAAUCAACCAGAGAGCUUACGACGGCGACAACUAGAGCAUUAACAACCGGCAGCAGUGCCAACGACGACGACAGUGCCGGUGGAGGCAGUGGCAGCGCAGACGCGAAUCAAACGGUAACAACGUCGUCGUCAGCAAAUCAGUUGCAAACGCAAUGCAAAGUUGUUCAGAGAAGUAAGUUUAUUAAAAAUAAGCAACAAUUGGAACUGGCCGUCAGUGGAAUUGGCAGUGGCAUAAAAAUGCCAGCUUCGCCCCCAAAAGUAGCGGUAAAAACUACAAUGGCUGCCAUGAAAGAAAUGAAAAAGUCUACAAAACAAAAUGGCGAAAAUAAUCGCCAUCAAAAUCAUCACCAGCACCAACAACACCAGCAUGGGACCCUAAAUAACGGUGCCCAAAACGAGGUGGUUGACACCGGUGAGGAUCUUAGUUACGGGCCCGGCAUUGUCUCCAAGCUGCGCAGUCGCUAUUUAAGCCUCGCAUUGCGUGAAUCUGUGCGGCAAGAGCACAAUCAAAAUCUGCGUCGCUCCAUAAGUCUCAACACGCUCCACGACCGAGAAGAUAAUGAUGAAGAGGAGCAUGAACAGGAACAGAUAAUCGAACGACAACAGCGGCCACCCCCAAUUGGUGUCAAGCCAACAAUUGUUGGUAGCUAUAUAAAGAGCCCUCAUGUGGCCCAGCGACAGGUGAGUGGUGGUAGUAGCAAUGGCAAUACCACUACCUCAGCCCCCGCGCCGCUCCGAUAUGUCAAUAUAUCUCAGUCGGCAGCAGAAAGUCAAACACAACAACAACAGCAGCAGCAACAACAACAAUCAAAUGGCUCAACACGCUCGCGGCACUUCAAACGCGGCAACGAGGUCAUGAAGCGUGCGCGUUCCGUUGAGGCGCUACUCUGUGAGAAGUCGCCCUGGAACACACAACGUGCCAGCUAUAAUGCGCCACCCGUAAGCGUUUCAUCUGGGAACCAUAACAACAACAACAGCAGCAGUACCAGCUCCUGUGUAACCAUUGAGGAUAAGAUACACAAUGCCCGGGAACGGCUGCAUAGCGGCACUGAUGCUGCGCCACCCAAGCGUCUGACCUCAAUUAUUGAUGACACCGAAAGGCCGCCACCGGAUUUGGUUAAGCAGACGCUUAAAAUGUUUGAGGCCACUGCAAAUCGAAGGCCACGACCAGCUCAGCGAAAAAAUGGAGUGGGCGGUGUGGCUAGCAAAGUGGCCAACUACAAGUCUAUUAUCAAGGAGCAAAAGCCUCUCUCUAUUCCAUCAGCUCUGACACCCAAACCUCGAUCCGAUUGUAGUAAUUUGAGGGAGCGAGAGACGGGAACAGAGACAGCAUAUUCGCCCAUGACUAUGAUUACCCAAACACUUAACCAUAUGCAACUGGAUGAUUCGCCGAGUGAUUCAAGUGGACGGACCCAGAAAAAUCAACAGACUGAGGCGACUGUUUUGCCUACGGCUGGUAAUAGUGGCGGCGUCGGCGGCACUAAUCAGCAAAGAUUAAUGAGCAGGUCCCCCAUGCCCAAAUAUACACAUGACUUUGAACUGGCCAGUGGCGCUUACGUAUCGACGCCGAAAUCUCGAUCCGAUUGUACUAAUUUGAGAGAACGAGAGACGGGAACAGAAACAGCAUAUUCUCCUAUGUCUAUGCUUACCCAAACGCUUCACCAUAUGCGACUUGAUGAUUCGCCAAGUGAUUCAAGUGGACGGGGCCAGAAAAAUCAACAGACUGAGUCGACCGUUCUGCCUGUGGGUGGUAGUAGUGGCGUCGGCGGCGCUAAUCAGCGAUUAGUCACCAACGAGAACCAAAACGAAGGCUCGCACGAACGCAACAACGACAACUGCUCACACGACGACGGCGACAAAAACGACAACGAUGGUGAUAAUACCGAUGACGAUCAGCGCCAGCACAAUGAUGAUGCGACCGCGGGGCGGACUGAGGCUCAUUCUGACGCCUAUGCAAACAACAACGAUGGUGACGGCGACGACGACGACAACGACGACGACGCUUAUAGUGGCGGUCUUUUGGGCGCGGCAGGGCCAAGUCAGAGCUCUACAAACGAUAAGCAGCCCCAGUCCGCACUAAUGUGUGAAACGCACGCCAGCACAGAAGCAGAAACAACAGCAGCAGCAGUAGCAGCAGGAGGAUUAGGAGGAGGUAUCGCCAUUGCCGCCAAUCGCCAAUUUGUUAGUGCCAACAAUAGCGACAGUUCAACCAAGUUGAGCAGCAGAAUACUGUCCGCGCAAACGGAUCACGAACCUGCCAAACUAUUUAACAUUACGCGUCCGCUCUAUAGCAGUGACUCUGGCGGCACCGGAAGCAGCGGCUCACCCUCAACACUAACCAGCCGGGAGAUUGAAAAGAAUCGUAUCAAUGAAAUGAAGUCGACGGCACUGAACGCAGAUGCAGCAUCGCAUAGCGGCGCCACCAGCAGCAGCAACAGUAGUCUAACUAGUCUCGAUACCGUGAUAAACACCAAGCCACAUCCCCAUACCACCACAUUGAGCGGCACAACGCAGGAUAAUAGCGAAACAGAUGCCUCUGCCUCGCCUAUUUGGGCAUGGCGCAAACGGCGCCAACCAACAAGCUCAAGCGGUAUUGGUGGCAGUGCCGGCAGCUGCAAUACCGAGCAAACCUCAAUGGUAUUCAAUUUUUCAAAAAGCACCAAGGAGGUGCCGGACUACAUUGAAAGCGAAGUUGUGAUCUACAGGCGUAAGCGGGAGCUGCCCAAGCCAAAUGAGCCGGGCUUUGUUCUGCUCGGAGAUCUGUCGGUGGAAACGUCCACCGAUUCGGAUUAUGAUGAAUAUUCCAUGUGUCCACCAUCACCGUGUGAUGUGGAAUUCGAGAAUGCAAAUAUUGUGAUUGAUGGCAAGUCCAGCAUACGUCAGAAAGCCAAAGAAUCAUCGUUCCGCGUACAGUUUAGCGAUACAUUAACAUCAACGUUUGAAUAUCCCUCCGAGUCAUCGCUGGUAAUCGAUGACCCACCGUAUGCUGAUCCAUAUGGCAAUAUGAAGAAUCAUCACCAACAGUUGCAUCAGCAUAAGUUGCAGCUGUUGGAGGAACAGCAGCAGCAGCAACAGCAGCAGCAGCCGUUCCAUCAUCAUGUGACCGUUGAUGAAAUAAUUGAGCUUCCAACUUCGACAGCCAUGCAUAAUAAAACGCCACCUGGCAGUAGUACAUUGGGGAAUUUACCGUUAGAUAUUGAUAUAGAUACUGAAACCGAAACCGUAAGCGUAAGCGUAAUCGAAACCGUAACCGUAAAAGUCGUCACGAAUGCGCUAGCGUUGCCGCUGCCAUUGCCCAUGGCCACAGUUCAGCCAACGUGCCGCAAAAAGCACAACGCAAAUGUUUCGCAUAGCCAACAGUCAGCUGUCAUUGUUCCACCUGUACCCGCUCCUCCUCUACCCCUGCCACAACCGCCACCCACACCUCAAGCUCCAGCUCCAGUGGCCGGCAGCGUUGUCUUCACUCAAGCGGCUGCUAUGGCUACUAACGGCGACAACGAUGGUGCCAGUACCAAUACCGGUAAAGGUAAUGGUAUUGGUGAUGGUGAUCGUGAUCGUGUGGGUAAGGGUAAGGGGGGCAGCGGUUGCUUCUGCUUGUGGCAAGCGUUGUUGCCACUGGGCAAGCAGAUCUUGCCCAUGCGUCGCAGACCGGCCGUGUUGCGUAAACCCCAAUAUGCCUGCUUCCUGCAACAUGAUGCAGUGCAGCACCAACAGACACGCAGUGCUUCCUUUUCAUAUGGCAGGCAGCAUCAACAUCAGCCGCAGCAGCAGCAGAGUAAAUAUGACUCUACAUCUAGAACUUUAUCUAGCCAGCAACAUUUUAGCAGCAAGCGUCGCCCAAGUUUGCCCAAUCAAGUAAGCGAUGCGCCUGCCACCUCAUCUGCUUCCGCCUGUACCUCUGCCUAUCCAGCACCUGUGCCCAGCUUGAGGGCUAAAAGGUUCUCAUCAUCAACGUCGCUAGUGCUGCCCAAUGCCAGCACCGCCUUGUUACAGUCGCGCAUACCCGGAAACACGCUCUACUAUGUCUGACCUUUGCAGCAGCGAACUGCAGCGCCAACAACAACUCCAGAAACUCCAGCAACUGCCACACCAUGCCGCACCAAGUGCCUCUGCUUGCUGCCCAAUUUCCGCUCGGGACAACUGCACCCAGAACUUGAACUUCUUCUUAGCUUCUGCACCACCACUGCAUACGAAAUAUAUUAUUUAAAUGUGUAACAAAUAUAUAAGCAAUGCCUUGUCAAAUAAUGUCUAUAUAUAUCCAUAUAUAUAUAUAUAUAAAUAUAUAAACAAAGCAUACAAUUUAUAUAAUAUAAAUAAAGGCAAAGGCAAUCGUCCAACUGAUACUGACACUGAUGAUCAUGAAAAUUGAACAACAAGAACAACAAAUAAUAAUAUGCCCAUAUGCCACACCUCUAACCAAAAUGCACUGCUGCUCAAAAAUUGCUACCUCUCUACUCUACUCGUAGCAACCAGGCCAAAACUAAUAAAAACUAAUCGCCAAAUCAUUAUACUUAUUAAGGCUCACCAGCACUUGGCUUUUAUACACCCAUGAAAGGCUCCCGCAAUCUAUUCCAACUGGGCGUAACACGCUAUAGCCCAACUGAUAGCAGCACUUCCACCCCAGCGAUAAAUGGAAACGGGACCAGCAACAGCAAC